CGGUGAGUUCAGGCCAUUCAAUAAAAUCAUUAUAUAAGGAUUACAGAUAAUACACGUUAAGUGCCUACCAUAGUACCUGGCACACAGAAAAUGAUUUUAAUAAAUAUGAGUUAUUGUUAGUUUUAUUACCAUGUCCCUGGCACUGCUAGUUACUUUACUUAUAUACAUUACCUCUAAUCCUUCCAAUAAAUCUACAAGGUAGCUAUUACUAUAUUUAUUUUAUAGACAAAGGAAAAGAGGAAACAAAAGUGAAGGAGACACUCUCUGCCCUCACAAGCCUUAUCUAACGGAACCAAUAAUUUAACGGCACUAACGGCUAAAAGAGGUUUCAGAAGACACCAUCUGAAGCCAACUCUGACGACAUAGGCUUCCCCGGAGGAUCGGGCCCAACAAAUAGGUGUCAGUUAUUGAGGUGGAAAGGACAGGCAACAUUUCCAGAGGAAGGGCUCUCCAUGAGGUUUAGAACGCUGAAGUACAGGAAGGGAACUAGCAAGAACAGGACGGAGGAGGCUGAAGCCUGAUCUAAAUAAGGAAGUAGUUGGGAUAUAUACAGAGGCUGUCGAACAUGGAACUGCAUCUGAGAAACAGGCAGCAGCAACCAAAAGCAAAGCAGGGACUGAGAACAGGCAGGUUCCAAGAGCAAAAUGGAACUUGAAAGCCAAGUACGGUUCACUGUAAAGGAGAAAAUAUAGAAAUACAGAACUACAACACCUGGUCUGGGAUGUGUCUGCCAGUUCGCAAGGAAAGAAAAUGGAAAUCACUAGUCUUUUUUGGAGACUUUUACAAUGGCAGGCGUGUUGCUCAAUCAUCCAAGGCUCCAACAGAUUGAGAAUUUAUAAAGACUAGUGGAUUUAUUUUGGCCAAGGACUUCUCAUUUCACUCUUACAUAUUUCAAAAUCUUUG
This 903-nucleotide long non-coding RNA is filed under the name Rhinopithecus bieti (black snub-nosed monkey). Its description in RNAcentral is "lncRNA (ENSRBIG00000045606.1)". The record is from RNAcentral. Lineage: Eukaryota; Metazoa; Chordata; Mammalia; Primates; Cercopithecidae.